AGCGAACGCUGGCGGCAGGCCUAACACAUGCAAGUCGAACGAACUCUUCGGAGUUAGUGGCGGACGGGUGAGUAACACGUGGGAACGUGCCUUUUGGUUCGGAAUAACUGAGGGAAACUUGUGCUAAUACCGAAUGUGCCCUUCGGGGGAAAGAUUUAUCGCCAUUAGAGCGGCCCGCGUCUGAUUAGCUAGGUGGUGAGGUAAAAGCUCACCAAGGCGACGAUCAGUAGCUGGUCUGAGAGGAUGACCAGCCACACUGGGACUGAGACACGGCCCAGACUCCUACGGGAGGCAGCAGUGGGGAAUCUUGCGCAAUGGGCGAAAGCCUGACGCAGCCAUGCCGCGUGAAUGAUGAAGGUCUUAGGAUUGUAAAAUUCUUUCACCGGGGACGAUAAUGACGGUACCCGGAGAAGAAGCCCCGGCUAACUUCGUGCCAGCCGCCGCGGUAA
RNAcentral lists this ribosomal RNA (449 nucleotides) under uncultured bacterium. Its description in RNAcentral is "partial 16S ribosomal RNA". It matches the Rfam family "Bacterial small subunit ribosomal RNA", at positions 29 to 523 of the family's 1533-position model. The record is from RNAcentral.